GUGUCUCAGUGAUGACGUCAUCCUCGGCAGGUUGAUGGUUUCAGUGUUCAGCAGGUGCCGUCAGCUGAUUGGCUGUAUGAGCUUCGGGAUCGGCUCUCUGGUCUCGUCCUCGAAGCGUGUCAUUGGUUGGUUUUACCUGCUGGGGGAGGAGUUUGGGCGGAGCAAACACCUGAGAGUGACAUCACAGUGGAACGGACCAAUGAGGAGCCGCGAGGACACUCCAACAC
Plectropomus leopardus (leopard coralgrouper) is the source of this 227-nucleotide non-coding RNA. Lineage: Eukaryota; Metazoa; Chordata; Actinopteri; Perciformes; Serranidae. The record is from RefSeq and is a predicted model, not a curated record.